ACACCGCCGCCGUGGUUACCGCGCCUGCGCGUUGGGGCCCCGUCGGCCGCGGGCGGGGUGAGGACAGCGUCAGAAGCUACGCGACUGGGAGGGGCUGGAGGAAGAGGUGGCGGCGUUGAGCCCUUCCAGACUAGGCCGGCGUUGGGUGGAAUAGGCAGCCGCUGGAAGGCCCGCACGCCGCCCUCGGCCCGCCGCGGCGCGCAGACCCGGGCGUGCGGACAUGCGCGCUAGGGCCGGUGUCGCCGGGCUGCCGCCUGAGCCGCGCUGCGCGUGCGCAGGGCAGCGUGGCCGUCACCGCCGCCGGUGGAAGUUUCCGAGCAGCCGGGCGGGGGCAGCGGACGCCACCGCAGGCGCUUCCCCCGCCGGCCGGCCCUCCCUCCUGACGUAAGGGCGGGCCCCGGUCGCAGAUCCCGCCCCAGGUCUCUCAUGCGAGGGUCCGUGCAGCAGGUCACGCUGCGCUCUCUGGGGUCCGCGCGUCGGCCCACGUGCUCCCUGCACCUCGCGGGGUGAGCGGCCAGCGUGCCGUGCCGGGUGGCUGGCUCCGCCGCUCCGGAGCCGGGAAGGACGCGCGGCGGAGUCCUGCUCCCUAGCGGGUCUGCUUACAGGCGUUUGGUUUGCUUUUUAAAAUGAUUUUCUAUGCGAAAAGUGAAGUGAAAACUUCCAAGUUAAUUCCCUGGGCAAAAUGGGCAGUGCUAGCCGAGGAACGGCUGGUGGGCGGCGCGUCCGGCCCCCGGCUUCGGUUUUUCCAGCUGCACCGAGCGGGCAGGAGUCAGUGGGAAACCGCCCGCCAUCCACAGCCUGCCUUUUGCCAUCCCGGUGUCCCGAGCGCGAUGGAAGCCGGGUUGACAGUGGCACUGUUUGGAAUACAGCGCCAACCACACAUCCUGUGAGGUCCAAAGCAAACGCCAGUGUCGUUGAUCAUCGCGGUGCCCCGCGAGCCUGGGCGACAUGAGGCCCCGCGGCUGCCGCCCUGUCUUCAGGCGGAGUCCCCGCAAAUGCACUCCCGGUCUAGGGCCCUGAAGCUGCCUUAGCCCAGUGGCGCCCGGGCUCCAAGCCUUUUAAGUAGGACGGGACCUGGCCUUCGUACAGGAGUGUUGUAAAUGCUAACCCCUCGUCUCCAGCGCAGAUGAGUAGACAUUACUAAGCACUUGACCCUCCAAACAUCGCUCCAACAGGAAAGGUCCGUGUGUUGCAUACAAAGGCUUUGGGGCAAGUGGUGGUGUUUAGUAAUAAAAAUGAAUGUUUCAGACGUUUUCAAAUACCUUCAUAUUGUACACGUGGAAAUCAUGACCAAGGAUUAGAACGUGCAUUCAGUAAACUACAGAAAAUCACACACAAGUCAAACAGCCGUUAUUCUGGAGCUAUUUGCUUCCAAUGGCUCAGUCCAAAAUCCUUGGUCAUGCCUGGCUCCUCUCUCUGUCCACAAUGAACACAUCCUCUUGGCUCCACUGCCCGAAACAUCCAGAACCCAACUGCUACCCCUCCUCCUCCCUCCACCCCUCUUUACUCUCCUUCCCGCCACCCGUCCAUUUUAAAGCAGUGCCUUCUAGCUGGUUUCCCACAUUCUGCACAGCUGCUCGUGUGAUCCUUUUUAAAAAAGAAAAAAGAUGUUACUAUUAAAAAUCAUCUCAUGCCAGUCUUAGAAUACUAUGCAGCCGUAAAAAGGAAUGAGAUCAUGUCCUUUAUGGGGACAUGAAUGGAGGUGGAAGCCACUAUCCUCAGCAAACUAACACAGGAACAGAAAACCAAACACCGCAUGUUCUCAGUAAUAAGUGGGAGCUGAACAAUGAGAACGCAUCAACACAGGGAGGGGAACAACACACACCGGGACCUGUUGGGGGUUAGGGGAAGGGAGAGCAUCAGGAUAAAUAGCUAAUGCAUGCAGGGCUUAAUGCCUAGGUGAUGGGUUCACAAGUGCAGCAAACCACCAUGGCACACAUUUACCUAUGUAACAAACCUGCACGUCUUGCACGUGUAUCCCAGAAUUUAAAGUUGACAUUUCAAAAAAUUCAGUCCAUGCCACUCUUCUGCUCAAAACCCUCCAGUGGCUUUCUCAUUCAGCAAAAUGGAACAACCUUGCUAUGACCUGCAAGUCCCUUAUCCCCUGGUCCUUCCCCUCUUCCCCUGCCCUCACCUCCCAGCGCUUUCCCUAACCCAAACAAUACCAGCCAAAAGCACAGCUGGCACACUCCUGCCUCAGGGCCUUUGCACUUGCUGUUCCAUCUGCCUGACAUGCGUUCCCUCCUCCCCAUCUUAGUGAGGACGUCCAAGUGGCUCUUUAGUCUAAACUGCAAACAUAACCCUCAGCAUCCCGUUUCCCUUCCCCGUUUGCUUUUUCUCCCUUAGUUUCCUGGAGCUGAGUAACAAAAUGUCACAAACUGGGUGGCUUAAAACAACAAACGCAUGCUCUCACAGUCCUAGAGGCUGAACGUCCAAAAUCAAGUUGUCAGCAAGGUCGUGUAUCCUCUGAAGGCUGUAAGGGAGUCUGCCCCAUGCUCUCCUCUCAGCUUCUGGUGUUGCUGGCAAACUGUGGCAUUCCUUGGCUUGUUGGUGCAUCACCCCACUCUCUGACACGUCAUCGCAUGAUGUUUCCCUGUGUCCUUGAUUUGUGGAUGCAUCGCUCCACUCUCUGUCCUCAUCAUCGCAUGGCAUUUUCCCUGUGUCCAUGUCUCUUCUCAGAAAGACACCAGUGGCAUUGGAUUAGGGCCACCCUAGUGUCUUCCUCCUGAUUACAUCUGCAAAGAGUUUCCAAAUAAGGUCAUAUUCGCAGGCACCCAGGGUUGGGACUUGAACAUAUCUUUUUGGGGGACACUAUACCACGUCAUGUAUAUUUUAUCUCAUUUAUCAUUUGUGUCCCCCACCCCAUUAGAAUGCACGCUCCGUGAAGAGAGGAUAGGAAUGGCCUGUCCCUGCUGUGCACCAGCUCAAGGAUUGUCUGACACAUCAGUCCUUGGUGAACAUUGGCAGAAUGACUGGCAGCUGAUUGAUUGGCCCAGCAGGAAUGGACACGGGCAGUUGCCCUUGUCCAGCUUCCAGGAUCUGUUACACAGGCCUAAGGCAACAACCAGAAGCCUUCCUGGGUGUUUACAUUACAGCACACCAGACUGCAGACACCGCCGCCCCAGACACUGCUUGCAGCUAAAGUCACCAAGUUUGCCGUGCCCCAUAACUGAGGUCAUUGGCAGCCCAGCACCAAGCCUCACUGGCAUCAAGGGCAGCGGGUUAGUAAGCAUGGCUCCACACGGGUAAGCAGUUCUAGGAAAUGGGAAGAAACCCAGACCAUCCAUCUCAGGGUAAGUUUGCUGGAUUUUCUCUCUGUUUUAAGAGUCUUUCAACAGGGCAUACAGCCCAUUCUCAAAUUUAGAUUUCUGUUUUUGUUAAGAACAGGGACUGUGGAACGAAUUUGCCUGACUUUGCCGUCAUUCUGCCAUUUCCUAGCUAUGUGGCCUCAGGCAAACUGAUUAAACUUACUGGCCUCAGAAUGGGGAAAAUUGUUGUAACUCAUGCUUGGGAUUACGUGAAGAUGAAAAGUAGGCGUGUCCAUGAAGUGCUUACAAGAGGGACCAGCGCGGUGUACCUAUUCUGUGCAUCCUACCCAUCCACUGUUCCUUCUCCGUGGUUCUUGAAGAAGCUGGAGUUUUCUUUCAGUCUUCUGCUUCUCCUGUUGCUUCCUCUAACUGAAGGAAGAAUCAGUCCAUGGCUUCUGCUCCAUGCUUUCUGCUCUUGGUUCGGGCUCCAACUUCCCCAUUAAUGGAAGAGAAUGGCUCUCCUGUUCCCAGCUGUAAUGAACUAAUUAAUUUUUCUAUUUCCCUAAUCAUUCUCUAUUCCCUGCCAAACCCUCUGGGUGUCUGUUUUGUUCUAUUGUUCAAGCCUGGACUUUGAGGGUAGGCUGGGGGCAUUGCUAGUCCCCAUAAUUGCUAAUCCAGGCACUUGAGUCAUUAUCUUCUAUACAUCACACUUAACAACCAGAGGGAAGUGCAGCCUCGUGGGCCUCGGAAAGGAAACCACCCACAGACUUGUGCGCCUUCUUCGCAGGCCAGGCUUUCCUUCCCCCAUGGUAAGAAGGUGAAGACUUGGAGAUUGGUGAGUCAGGCAAUCAAGGUCAGAUUGACAUACUCUAGAAGAUUACAUGCCGUGUGGAACAGUACUGGGCAGGGGACCCACUGGGACAGGGGCUCAGUUAGGAGGCUAUGGCAGUCCCGCAGGAGAUUCUGGAGGUGGGGGUUGAAUGGGGAGCAGCGUAGAUUUGGAUACAGCAUGGAUUUUGAAGUAGAGCCAGCCAUGGGGAGCGAGUGGGGAGGGAGGCAAAGAGUGAACAAAGCAUCCGUUCGGGUCGGUGGCCUCAGCCAUGGAUGAAAGUCUUAUUUCCUGAGAUGGGGGACACUGGAUGGAGCAGGAAGCAUCCCUCUUUAGGAAAUGCUAGGUUGGAGAUGUCCCUCUUAUAUCCCCAGGAGACAGCUGGACACAGAGGCUUGCAUUUAGAAGACAAGCCAGUCUGGAAAGGGCCGUCACGGAGCAAGCCCUGCCUGGCUGGCGUGUAGCAGAGCUGCAUGGGGUGAGCUCACCCGGGCGGGGACGGGUGUGGAAAGCACAGAGAAGCAGGUUAGCUCUUGUUCAUGUAUGCUGCAGUAACAGACAUCCCCAGGACCUCAGCGGCUCAUAGGAACCACAUGGCACACAUUGGUGGUGGCUCUCCUCCCAGGCAGUACCCCACAUCUUGUCUUCUGUGUUUGGGCACCCAGGCUGGAGUAGCAACCCAUCUCAGUCAAUGGCGAAGGAAGCAGGAAUGGGAGGUUCUAAUACCAUCUCACUCAUCCUUUGGACCAAGGACACCUCUCCCAUGCACUAUGCCCCAUGCCUCUCUCUCACUAUGGCCCAGUCCACGCAUGGAGGUCCCAGUUGGUGCUCAGGUUCUAGUGUUGUCACCACCUUGCUGGCACUCUUACCCCGGCCACCCCGAACCCCUUCAGACCCUCGGCUGCAGCCUGCUUCCACGCUGCAGAGCCUGAGCACUGCCCUCUCUGUCUGGGAAAGCUGUCCGUGAGCCGCUCAAGCCCCCGCCCCCAACUUUCUGUCAACCCUGGAAUCUGGCUCAGCUGUCCUCGGGGAGGCCCUCUCUUGUGUCUCUGGUCCUUUGACACAUGGUCAGUUCAUUGCAGGUUUACUCACUUAUGUCCUUGUGUUAGCUGCCUGUACCUGGGGACAGCAACGAUGCCAACUCUGUCCACUCUUGUAUGGAAAAGCUCAGCAGAGGGCCUGGCAGACAGCUGUGUCCAAUGCAUAGUUGUUGACUGAAUAAAAACAAAGCCGCUGACUCUCCCUAAUCCUAGACCCUCAUCUCCAGACCAGCCUGACUUUUAGCCACUCACUCACUUGCUGAAGCCUGGAACCUACCAGAGCUGGUUUGCCCAUAGGCCCUGCGCAAGCCUCGGGCUGCCUUGUGUUUGACCUGUGCCCCAGGGUGCAGUGUUUCCUGGGCACUCCCCUAACAUCACCUUUGCCUCUCCCGGCGCAGUGCCAGCCUUUCAGACCCAGGUCCAACCAAAACCUCUGUAAAGCUUUCCUGGCCGCAUCAACCUUAAAGUAAUGAAAUUAGGAGAGAGAAAUUUGUAACAAUUGUGAAAAUUACUGUGGUGAUUGUGAAAAUGAAUAAUAGGGCUUUUCUUAUUGCCUUGAA
Gorilla gorilla gorilla (western lowland gorilla) is the source of this 5677-nucleotide long non-coding RNA. RefSeq lists it as uncharacterized. NCBI's taxonomy places the organism in Eukaryota, Metazoa, Chordata, Mammalia, Primates, Hominidae. The record is from RefSeq and is a predicted model, not a curated record. The transcript has 5 exons.